Molecule: small RNA, 83 nt
Filed under: Marmota monax (woodchuck)
Lineage: Eukaryota; Metazoa; Chordata; Mammalia; Rodentia; Sciuridae
Source: RNAcentral
GCUGGGUGUGUUGGCGCACACCUGGAAUCCCAGCGGCUCUGGAGGCUGAGGCAGGAGGAUCCCAAGUUCAAAGCCAGCCUCAG